This 65-nucleotide transfer RNA is filed under the name Papilio protenor. Its description in RNAcentral is "tRNA-His". The record is from RNAcentral. Lineage: Eukaryota; Metazoa; Arthropoda; Insecta; Lepidoptera; Papilionidae.
AUUUAAAUAAUUUAAAAAAAAAUAUUGAUUUGUGGAGUCAAAAAUAUGAAAAUUCAUUUUAAAUC